Molecule: ribosomal RNA, 679 nt
Filed under: uncultured Vibrio sp.
Lineage: Bacteria; Pseudomonadati; Pseudomonadota; Gammaproteobacteria; Vibrionales; Vibrionaceae
Description: bacterial SSU rRNA
Rfam family: Bacterial small subunit ribosomal RNA
Source: RNAcentral
CUACCUGCAGUCGAGCGGAACGACAACAUUGAAUCUUCGGAGGAUUUGUUGGGCGUCGAGCGGCGGACGGGUGAGUAAUGCCUAGGAAAUUGCCUUGAUGUGGGGGAUAACCAUUGGAAACGAUGGCUAAUACCGCAUAAUGCCUACGGGCCAAAGAGGGGGAUCUUCGGACCUCUCGCGUCAAGAUAUGCCUAGGUGGGAUUACUAGUUGGUGAGGUAAUGGCUCACCAAGGCGACGAUCCCUAGCUGGUCUGAGAGGAUGAUCAGCCACACUGGAACUGAGACACGGUCCAGACUCCUACGGGAGGCAGCAGUGGGGAAUAUUGCACAAUGGGCGAAAGCCUGAUGCAGCCAUGCCGCGUGUAUGAAGAAGGCCUUCGGGUUGUAAAGUACUUCCAGUUGUGAGGAAGGGUGUGUAGUUAAUAGCUGCGCAUCUUGACGUUAGCAACAGAAGAAGCACCGGCUAACUCCGUGCCAGCAGCCGCGGUAAUACGGAGGGUGCGAGCGUUAAUCGGAAUUACUGGGCGUAAAGCGCAUGCAGGUGGUUCAUUAAGUCAGAUGUGAAAGCCCGGGGCUCAACCUCGGAACUGCAUUUGAAACUGGUGAACUAGAGUGCUGUAGAGGGGGGUAGAAUUUCAGGUGUAGCGGUGAAAUGCGUAGCUACCUGCAGGAACAUCAG